This 76-nucleotide transfer RNA is filed under the name Puniceicoccales bacterium. RNAcentral describes it as "tRNA-Ala". It matches the Rfam family "tRNA". Rfam says of the family: Transfer RNA (tRNA) molecules are approximately 80 nucleotides in length. Lineage: Bacteria; Pseudomonadati; Verrucomicrobiota; Opitutia; Puniceicoccales. The record is from RNAcentral.
GGGGUCGUAGCUUAGUUGGUAGAGCACGUCGUUCGCAAUGACGAGGUCGUCGGUUCGAUCCCGAUCGACUCCACCA